Long non-coding RNA from Numida meleagris (helmeted guineafowl), 2310 nucleotides. RefSeq lists it as uncharacterized. The record is from RefSeq and is a predicted model, not a curated record. The transcript is spliced from 4 exons. NCBI's taxonomy places the organism in Eukaryota, Metazoa, Chordata, Aves, Galliformes, Numididae.
CUUUUAUGGGUGUUGUUGUGUUUUGUUGUCAAUGAGACUAACGAUUCAAGUAUUAGGCAGCAUGCCUCAGUGUGAUGAGGAACAUUUGCACAGACCCCAGGAAAGACAAGCCAAGUUCCUCCUGACUAUGAAAGCAAAGCAAACACAGCAAAAGCUCAGUGUUUUGACCCACUGCAAACUGUAUCAAGCUAUGGCUGAUAAACCUGUAAGGAUCUUUACUCAUCGUUUGUUUCACCUGAUAUCCCUCCCUGCCCCCUUGGUCCCCAUUAUGCUCCAAUUUCACCCAGCUGUAUUCCCUGCAGAGCUUUAUCAGUCUCAGAAGGGGGGUGUAGCAAGUUUUUUCUGAGCUUUGUUGAGCAGAUGUGGUUAGAACCUCACCUCUAAGGCUUACCUCUUUGCUAAAGUAAUUCCCUGAUACCGCACUGCAAACAGGAUGGGCCUAAAUCUAUGUAACUGACUACUUUUAGCUGCUCUCAAAUGUUUGUUGUUUAGGAAAAAAAAAAAAAAAAAAGGAACCAAAAUAUAUUUAUCAGUUUUCUUUUAAAAAGAAGAUUUCAUCAGUUAUGUACUUCAGCUCAUUGCUGAUUGUAUGUGUGGUGCAAGGCAAUGGCGCUGUUUUUUUAUAAGAAGAAUUCCUUAUGGAUGAGAGUUCUUCCAGAACCAGUGAAUUCCUACAGGAAGAUUUCAGAAUAAAACAACCAAAUGCUGUUUCCAGCCCUGUUCUAGGCUUGGAGGGUGUUGGGAGACCCUCUCUUGUCUUACAGCUGGCAGCUGAGGCAUUCCCCAGGAUGUAGAAGACCCAUGUUGAGUUUACUCACUUCAUUUGGAUGACUUAGUGCCUUUCCCGUCAUGGAAAUUCUCUGGGUGUAGAAUGGAGGUCAAGAUAUAGAAAUAUCUAUAAACUGAAUCUUUCUUGCAAAAGAAUCAGUGGAAAAAGAGAAUAUUUAAAUUAUGAUCCAGUUUGUUGCAUGAAAACGCGCCCAAGUCACUGGCUAACUUUCCUGUUCUUUUUGCUUUCAUCAAUGAAUAGUUAAUAAAUUCUUAAUGUACUGCAAAAUAGUGGAACAAGACUAUAAUAGAAGAGUCUCAGGGAAUAAAACAUUAUCUUCUGAUUGUUGAGAUCAUCCAGCUUUAUUAAUUCCUUCUGGUUCACGUGUACAUUGAAAAAACACUUCACCGUAUGCUAAGUCCUAACCAAAAGCUAUAAUUACUUGAGAUACAAUGACUGAGAUGCUGCUAUGAAUACAGAAGAUAAAUAAAACUUAGUAUUCCCUGUUUUUAUUUCCCUGUAUAAGAGAUGCUGUUGGACUUCGCAUCUCAAAGAUUUAUCUCAAAUCAAAGAAUACCUUAGUAACUGCUGGAAAUCAUAGCUGUGGUUUGAGAUGUGCUGAGCUACCAUGUAGUUCUUGUCUUAAGUCUUGUUCAGUUUCCAUCUGACAGCUUCUGAUUCAGUCUUGUAGGAAUGGGCAACUCCAUAGACAGCAAAAGGACAUGAGGUUAAUGCUGUUUAUACUUUUCUGUCUGUUUCUCCUGGACUUGGAAGAAAACCUUCUGUAGUUCUCAGCAGCUUGCGUGACUCAGAACUAUGUCCUUUUGUUGUCAUAUUGAAAUAUUUAAGACUGAGAGCCUGAUAAGUAUGCUAAACUGGACUGCAAACCUACUGAUGCGUAUUUUGGAUACUCCUCCAAAAAAUGUCAUAUACAAAUGAAUCUGCUUUAAAAUAUUGCGGGCAUUUGGUUUUGUGGAAGAUCGUUGUGCCUCUCUGACUUCUUGCAUGUUAAAAAGUCAGUUAUUGCAAACUCUCUCUCUAGUUUCUGGAUCAUUACCCACUUUUUUUAAGCAAAAAUAUCCUUUUGUAUAAUCCAGUUACUCUUCAUUCGUAAUGCUUUCAUGACAUUUGGAGUAUCUGUUACCAUAUCAUUAACUAGUGUUGUUAUGACAGAUAAUUUAUUGUCUACUGAAGAUCCUCCCAUUUUUGUGUGUGAAUGGUCUUAAUUUUUUUUCUAGAAUAAGAACAGCUUUGGUAUCUGAUAGUGAUAUUUAGGAGUCCGUAUCAAGACUUUACUGAAGAGGACAAUGAAUGUAUGUACAGGUCCACAUAAGGGUAGUCAGAAAAUAGUGUUGAUAUUGGACUCUAUACUGAGUAGAAAUGUUCCUGGAGAUCGUGAUGUCUUUGGACUUGACUGAAAAACUGAGUGCUGCAGUAUAACUUUCCCAGUGCUGAGAUCUUUUUUUCCCCUUGUUUGUUGCAAAUUGUCUGUCUGCAGAUGAAGUGUAAUGGCAUCCUUAAUAAAUGUAGCUAUGAUCUCA